AACCCGAGGAAACUCGGGCGUAAUACCGGACUGUGGUACGGAGACAUAAGUCUCUUACUAAGUAGCUUCGGCUUCCGCAUUGGGAGGGGCCCGCGGCCCAUUAGGCUAGUUCGGUGGGGUCAAGGCCUACCAAGGCAACGAUGGGUAGCUGGUCUGAGAGGACGAUCAGCCACACUGGGACUGAGACACGGCCCAGACUCCUACGGGAGGCAGCAGUGGGGAAUCUUGCGCAAUGCGCGAAAGCGUGACGCAGCAACACCGCGUGAGGGAAGACGGCCUUAGGGUUGUAAACCUCUUUCAGAUGGGACGAAGGUGAUGCGGUGAAUAGCCGAUGUCAUUGACGGUACCGUCAGAAGAAGCUCCGGCUAACUACGUG
This 376-nucleotide ribosomal RNA is filed under the name uncultured bacterium. RNAcentral's name for it is "bacterial SSU rRNA". It matches the Rfam family "Bacterial small subunit ribosomal RNA", at positions 145 to 507 of the family's 1533-position model. The record is from RNAcentral.